AAGAGAGUGCCUGGUACAGAGAAGGUGUUCAAUAUUUCUUAAAUAUUAAAAGAUUGAGCUCUGAAGGCAAUACUGCCAAGUGAACAGAUUGAACUAUAAGGACAAAAGAGAUGGAGAAGUCAUACAAUGGAGGAAACCUGGGACCCUGAACAACUAUGUGGAACAGAGCACCCACCCCAUUUCAGUCCUAACUGAACUUUACACAGGACUGCUACAAAAGUAAUGUGGAAAGGGCAGAGAAAGCAUGACUAUUCCCGUUUUAGAGUCGAAGAACCAAGGCUCAGAAGCAUUAAGU
Molecule: long non-coding RNA, 295 nt
Filed under: Homo sapiens (human)
Lineage: Eukaryota; Metazoa; Chordata; Mammalia; Primates; Hominidae
Description: HSALNT0057214
Source: RNAcentral